ACAACGUUCGGACCGUCGAUCCACCUGCAACAUCACCCGCUCAGUGGAAGAUCUUCUUUUUGUCGU
This 66-nucleotide microRNA precursor is filed under the name Bombyx mori (domestic silkworm). RNAcentral describes it as "mir-2774 microRNA precursor family". It matches the Rfam family "mir-2774 microRNA precursor family". Lineage: Eukaryota; Metazoa; Arthropoda; Insecta; Lepidoptera; Bombycidae. The record is from Rfam by way of RNAcentral.